GAUGAACGCUGGCGGCGUGCCUAAUACAUGCAAGUCGAGCGAACGGACGAGAAGCUUGCUUCUCUGAUGUUAGCGGCGGACGGGUGAGUAACACGUGGAUAACCUACCUAUAAGACUGGGAUAACUUCGGGAAACCGGAGCUAAUACCGGAUAAUAUUUUGAACCGCAUGGUUCAAAAGUGAAAGACGGUCUUGCUGUCACUUAUAGAUGGAUCCGCGCUGCAUUAGCUAGUUGGUAAGGUAACGGCUUACCAAGGCAACGAUGCAUAGCCGACCUGAGAGGGUGAUCGGCCACACUGGAACUGAGACACGGUCCAGACUCCUACGGGAGGCAGCAGUAGGGAAUCUUUCGCAAUGGGCGAAAGCCUGACGGAGCAACGCCGCGUGAGUGAUGAAGGUCUUCGGAUCGUAAAACUCUGUUAUUAGGGAAGAACAUAUGUGUAAGUAACUGUGCACAUCUUGACGGUACCUAAUCAGAAAGCCACGGCUAACUACGUGCCAGCAGCCGCGGUAAUACGUAGGUGGCAAGCGUUAUCCGGAAUUAUUGGGCGUAAAGCGCGCGUAGGCGGUUUUUUAAGUCUGAUGUGAAAGCCCACGGCUCAACCGUGGAGGGUCAUUGGAAACUGGAAAACUUGAGUGCAGAAGGGGAAAGUGGAAUUCCAUGUGUAGCGGUGAAAUGCGCAGAGAUAUGGAGGAACACCAGUGGCGAAGGCGACUUUCUGGUCUGUAACUGACGCUGAUGUGCGAAAGCGUGGGGAUCAAACAGGAUUAGAUACCCUGGUAGUCCACGCCGUAAACGAUGAGUGCUAAGUGUUAGGGGGUUUCCGCCCCUUAGUGCUGCAGCUAACGCAUUAAGCACUCCGCCUGGGGAGUACGACCGCAAGGUUGAAACUCAAAGGAAUUGACGGGGACCCGCACAAGCGGUGGAGCAUGUGGUUUAAUUCGAAGCAACGCGAAGAACCUUACCAAAUCUUGACAUCCUUUGACAACUCUAGAGAUAGAGCCUUCCCCUUCGGGGGACAAAGUGACAGGUGGUGCAUGGUUGUCGUCAGCUCGUGUCGUGAGAUGUUGGGUUAAGUCCCGCAACGAGCGCAACCCUUAAGCUUAGUUGCCAUCAUUAAGUUGGGCACUCUAAGUUGACUGCCGGUGACAAACCGGAGGAAGGUGGGGAUGACGUCAAAUCAUCAUGCCCCUUAUGAUUUGGGCUACACACGUGCUACAAUGGACAAUACAAAGGGCAGCGAAACCGCGAGGUCAAGCAAAUCCCAUAAAGUUGUUCUCAGUUCGGAUUGUAGUCUGCAACUCGACUACAUGAAGCUGGAAUCGCUAGUAAUCGUAGAUCAGCAUGCUACGGUGAAUACGUUCCCGGGUCU
RNAcentral lists this ribosomal RNA (1372 nucleotides) under uncultured bacterium. RNAcentral describes it as "bacterial SSU rRNA". It matches the Rfam family "Bacterial small subunit ribosomal RNA", at positions 28 to 1381 of the family's 1533-position model. The record is from RNAcentral.